Molecule: small nuclear RNA, 153 nt
Organism: Xenopus tropicalis (tropical clawed frog)
Lineage: Eukaryota; Metazoa; Chordata; Amphibia; Anura; Pipidae
Gene: U4
Rfam family: U4 spliceosomal RNA
About the family: U4 small nuclear RNA (U4 snRNA) is a component of the major U2-dependent spliceosome. The structure of U4 snRNA from yeast and human has been reported. U4 snRNA presents a k-turn RNA motif in the 5p-SL related to recognition of Snu13 protein.
Source: Ensembl
AGCCUUGCGCAGUGGUAGUAUCAUAGCCAAAGAGGUCAAACCGAGGCAUGAUUAUUGCUAAUUGUGAUAAAGCUGAAGCUUGAUGAAAGCGGAGGGGCUGUGUUCACAUUAGAGCUGCUGACUUAUUUUAUGUCGGGGGCUUCGCACAUGCUC